GAAUUGCUGCACUUUUAGAACGUUUUGUCCAGAAGUGACAUUCAAGCAUUUCAAAUGGUUUUCAGAAAUUUAACAUACAUGUAAAUACUUCAUCGGCAAAAGAAAAGGACACAAGUUUACAUCAAAGAUUGCUUGUGAGGGUGUUACCGGUCGACAGGGGAUGCUUACUCCUCCUAGGCACCUGAUCCAACAUCUGGUGAACCCGGGGGUACUUGUACAUGACGUCUGCAAUUUGAUACCCGCUUCCAGGCUGCCAUCUUGCUUGCACUCGGAAAUCCUUGGAUACUAGGCUAGCGUGUUAGCGGGAGAUCUAGUAACGGAUGGAUGAACAGAAUUACUACUAUGUUCCAACUACUUAUAUAUCAUACUGUGACUACCCCAUCUCUCAGCAAAUUACAUGUACAUACUGCACAAAUUAUUAUCAUCUGGAAAUUCGCAAGGUUUUUCUUUAAGCAAAAUUGAAAAAGCGGACGUAUAAUUUUGUCUUCUUUGAAUAUUAAUUGAAUCGAAUAUGCAUGUAUUGAAUAUUGGUAUUCUUAACACUUCACUCAAUGUACAAUGUACAUACAUGAACAGUACAUGGUCUUCCUCUAUUUUAUUGUUUGUGUGAGACGUGCAGUUGUGCGUUUUUAUUCACCACAGUCUAAUACGACACCUUUGAUACAGACAUCCCGGAUACAAGACAACAGCAAAUCUAAAAAAUAAUAAUAAUAAUAAUAAUUAGCAAUGUCAUUAUGACCUUAACUAAUUAAUAAUGUUUUAUCACAAGUGUUGUUUGUUGGCACCUCGAAGUGGUCAAGGCUUCUGUCAACAUGGCAACAAUAUCGUAAGAAUCAUUACGGAGAUACCGUGGAAUUCAUUUAUCAAAACAGUUUCCCAAAUUCAAGAUAAAAGGCUGACUGUGAUUGGAUGAUGGACAAGAAAUCCUCAAUGUGACAGGGACGAUAUAUUACCACUCACAGAAUUCCCUCCGGUUUGAUUGCAGAUCAGAAGAAACUGGUUUCAAGUGUAUGACUAG
Molecule: long non-coding RNA, 1018 nt
Organism: Ostrea edulis (European flat oyster)
Lineage: Eukaryota; Metazoa; Mollusca; Bivalvia; Ostreida; Ostreidae
Exons: 3
Source: RefSeq, a predicted model, not a curated record